Molecule: long non-coding RNA, 235 nt
Filed under: Elaeis guineensis (African oil palm)
Lineage: Eukaryota; Viridiplantae; Streptophyta; Magnoliopsida; Arecales; Arecaceae
Description: long non-coding RNA (EGUI_LNC069479)
Source: RNAcentral
UGGACCGUCUCACAUGGGUGUGGACGUGGGUGCAAAGUAGGCACCAUAUAAGGCACCAAUCCUUUCUCAUAUAGGAGUCCUUCUUUAAUAAGUAGUGGACUGAUUCAAAGCUUAUUUGAAUUAAGAGUCUUAUAUUUAUUUGGUCAUGAAAUUCAUCUAUAAAUAGAGAGAGUCUCUACCUAUGGAUGCAUAAGAGAGCAUAGAAAUUAGAUUAAAAGAAAGAGAGAAGAGAGAG